This 1886-nucleotide ribosomal RNA is filed under the name Citrobacter sp. Cf115. Its description in RNAcentral is "partial 23S ribosomal RNA". It matches the Rfam family "Bacterial large subunit ribosomal RNA", at positions 236 to 2143 of the family's 2925-position model. The record is from RNAcentral. Lineage: Bacteria; Pseudomonadati; Pseudomonadota; Gammaproteobacteria; Enterobacterales; Enterobacteriaceae.
UCCCCCAGUAGCGGCGAGCGAACGGGGAGCAGCCCAGAGUCUGAAUCAGCUUGUGUGUUAGUGGAACGGUCUGGAAAGUCCGACGGUACAGGGUGAUAGUCCCGUACACCAAAAUGCACAGGUUGUGAACUCGAAGAGUAGGGCGGGACACGUGGUAUCCUGUCUGAAUAUGGGGGGACCAUCCUCCAAGGCUAAAUACUCCUGACUGACCGAUAGUGAACCAGUACCGUGAGGGAAAGGCGAAAAGAACCCCGGCGAGGGGAGUGAAAAAGAACCUGAAACCGUGUACGUACAAGCAGUGGGAGCCUCUUUAUGGGGUGACUGCGUACCUUUUGUAUAAUGGGUCAGCGACUUAUAUUCUGUAGCAAGGUUAACCGUAUAGGGGAGCCGAAGGGAAACCGAGUCUUAACUGGGCGUUAAGUUGCAGGGUAUAGACCCGAAACCCGGUGAUCUAGCCAUGGGCAGGUUGAAGGUUGGGUAACACUAACUGGAGGACCGAACCGACUAAUGUUGAAAAAUUAGCGGAUGACUUGUGGCUGGGGGUGAAAGGCCAAUCAAACCGGGAGAUAGCUGGUUCUCCCCGAAAGCUAUUUAGGUAGCGCCUCGUGAACUCAUCUUCGGGGGUAGAGCACUGUUUCGGCUAGGGGGUCAUCCCGACUUACCAACCCGAUGCAAACUGCGAAUACCGAAGAAUGUUAUCACGGGAGACACACGGCGGGUGCUAACGUCCGUCGUGAAGAGGGAAACAACCCAGACCGCCAGCUAAGGUCCCAAAGUCAUGGUUAAGUGGGAAACGAUGUGGGAAGGCACAGACAGCCAGGAUGUUGGCUUAGAAGCAGCCAUCAUUUAAAGAAAGCGUAAUAGCUCACUGGUCGAGUCGGCCUGCGCGGAAGAUGUAACGGGGCUAAACCAUGCACCGAAGCUGCGGCAGCGACACUAUGUGUUGUUGGGUAGGGGAGCGUUCUGUAAGCCGUUGAAGGUGUGCUGUGAGGCAUGCUGGAGGUAUCAGAAGUGCGAAUGCUGACAUAAGUAACGAUAAUGCGGGUGAAAAACCCGCACGCCGGAAGACCAAGGGUUCCUGUCCAACGUUAAUCGGGGCAGGGUGAGUCGACCCCUAAGGCGAGGCCGAAAGGCGUAGUCGAUGGGAAACAGGUUAAUAUUCCUGUACUUGGUGUUACUGCGAAGGGGGGACGGAGAAGGCUAUGUUAGCCGGGCGACGGUUGUCCCGGUUUAAGCAUGUAGGCGGAGGUUCCAGGUAAAUCCGGUACCUUUUUAACGCUGAGGUGUGAUGACGAGGCACUACGGUGCUGAAGUAACAAAUGCCCUGCUUCCAGGAAAAGCCUCUAAGCAUCAGGUAACACGAAAUCGUACCCCAAACCGACACAGGUGGUCAGGUAGAGAAUACCAAGGCGCUUGAGAGAACUCGGGUGAAGGAACUAGGCAAAAUGGUGCCGUAACUUCGGGAGAAGGCACGCUGAUAUGUAGGUGAAGCGGUUUACCCGUGGAGCUGAAAUCAGUCGAAGAUACCAGCUGGCUGCAACUGUUUAUUAAAAACACAGCACUGUGCAAACACGAAAGUGGACGUAUACGGUGUGACGCCUGCCCGGUGCCGGAAGGUUAAUUGAUGGGGUUAUCCGUAAGGAGAAGCUCUUGAUCGAAGCCCCGGUAAACGGCGGCCGUAACUAUAACGGUCCUAAGGUAGCGAAAUUCCUUGUCGGGUAAGUUCCGACCUGCACGAAUGGCGUAAUGAUGGCCAGGCUGUCUCCACCCGAGACUCAGUGAAAUUGAACUCGCUGUGAAGAUGCAGUGUACCCGCGGCAAGACGGAAAGACCCCGUGAACCUUUACUAUAGCUUGACACUGAACACUGGUCCUUGAUGUGUAGGA